UACGGAGGGUGCGAGCGUUAUCCGGAUUCACUGGGUUUAAAGGGUGCGUAGGUGGGUCUGUAAGUCAGUGGUGAAAUCUCCGGGCUUAACCUGGAAACUGCCAUUGAUACUAUAGGUCUUGAAUUUUCUGGAGGUAAGCGGAAUAUGUCAUGUAGCGGUGAAAUGCUUAGAUAUGACAUAGAACACCAAUUGCGAAGGCAGCUUGCUACAGGAAUAUUGACACUGAGGCACGAAAGCUGGGGAUCAAACAGG
RNAcentral lists this ribosomal RNA (252 nucleotides) under uncultured bacterium. RNAcentral describes it as "partial 16S ribosomal RNA". It matches the Rfam family "Bacterial small subunit ribosomal RNA", at positions 524 to 776 of the family's 1533-position model. The record is from RNAcentral.